This 505-nucleotide ribosomal RNA is filed under the name uncultured bacterium. RNAcentral's name for it is "partial 16S ribosomal RNA". It matches the Rfam family "Bacterial small subunit ribosomal RNA", at positions 28 to 507 of the family's 1533-position model. The record is from RNAcentral.
GACGAACGCUGGCGGCGUGCCUAAUACAUGCAAGUAGAACGCACAGUUUAUACCGUAGCUUGCUACACCAUAAACUGUGAGUUGCGAACGGGUGAGUAACGCGUAGGUAACCUGCCUGGUAGCGGGGGAUAACUAUUGGAAACGAUAGCUAAUACCGCAUAAUAUUGAUUAUUGCAUGAUAAUUGAUUGAAAGAUGCUAUUGCAUCACUACCAGAUGGACCUGCGUUGUAUUAGCUAGUAGGUGAGGUAACGGCUCACCUAGGCGACGAUACAUAGCCGACCUGGGAGGGUGGUCGGCCACACUGGGACUGAGACACGGCCCAGACUCCUACGGGAGGCAGCAGUAGGGAAUCUUCGGCAAUGGACGAAAGUCUGACCGAGCAACGCCGCGUGAGUGAAGAAGGGUUUCGGAUCGUAAAGCUCUGUUGUAAGAGAAGAACGGGUGUGAGAGUGGAAAGUUCACACUGUGACGGUAUCUUACCAGAAAGGGACGGCUAACUACGUG